GACGAACGCUGGCGGCGUGCCUAAUACAUGCAAGUUGAGCGAUGAAGAUUGGUGCUUGCACCAAUUUGAAGAGCAGCGAACGGGCGAGUAACGCGUGGGGAAUCUGCCUUUGAGCGGGGGACAACAUUUGGAAACGAAUGCUAAUACCGCAUAACAACUUUAAACAUAAGUUUUAAGUUUGAAAGAUGCAAUUGCAUCACUCAAAGAUGAUCCCGCGUUGUAUUAGCUAGUUGGUGAGGUAAAGGCUCACCAAGGCGAUGAUACAUAGCCGACCUGAGAGGGUGAUCGGCCACAUUGGGACUGAGACACGGCCCAAACUCCUACGGGAGGCAGCAGUAGGGAAUCUUCGGCAAUGGACGAAAGUCUGACCGAGCAACGCCGCGUGAGUGAAGAAGGGUGUCGGAUCGUAAAACUCUGUUGGUAGAGAAGAACGUUGGUGAGAGUGGAAAGCUCAUCAAGUGACGGUAACUACCCAGAAAGGGACGGCUAACUACGUG
This 497-nucleotide ribosomal RNA is filed under the name uncultured bacterium. RNAcentral describes it as "partial 16S ribosomal RNA". It matches the Rfam family "Bacterial small subunit ribosomal RNA", at positions 28 to 507 of the family's 1533-position model. The record is from RNAcentral.